CUGUUUUUCCUCCAGCUCACUGGGACAAACCCGAGCACCUCGGGGUUUUGUUUGCUGCUGGAGACACUCAGCUCAGGGUUUUGGUGGGGUAGGGCCUCACAUUUGGGGUCUCUGAGCCAGAUGUGCACCAGCAGCCUUAAUGUGUCUGUUCUUGCUGGGGACUUCUCACAGCCACAGACAAGAACCAGCCCAGUGUGAGUGCUCACUGCUGGAGGAAAGCCUUCUAAGAAGAUCCAACAAUGAAUAAUUCCAGUGAAAGCACUGCUCAGGAGUGGCCUACAACAUAUACUUCAGUCCAUGCCUUCUCUUUGUAAAGUGUGAGUAACUUAAUGGAUAAUUUACACAUGAGGUUCCCAACCUGAAAUUUAAACCUGAAAUUCCCAAUCUGAAAAUGGAACCAUUUUCUGUGAUGUGAGCUACAUCUCAUCUCAUUUGUACUCAUGCCAUUUAUUUUGCCCAAAUUAAAAA
This is a long non-coding RNA of Vidua chalybeata, 468 nucleotides long. RefSeq lists it as uncharacterized. The record is from RefSeq and is a predicted model, not a curated record. Lineage: Eukaryota; Metazoa; Chordata; Aves; Passeriformes; Viduidae. The transcript is spliced from 4 exons.